UUGACAGAAGAGAGUGAGCACACAGAGGCACCUGGUAUAGUUAUAUGCUGUUACUUUUGCGUGCUCACUUCUCUUUCUGUCAA
Molecule: non-coding RNA, 83 nt
Organism: Phaseolus vulgaris (common bean)
Lineage: Eukaryota; Viridiplantae; Streptophyta; Magnoliopsida; Fabales; Fabaceae
Source: Rfam